AAUCCCAAGUUCCAUUAUUAUGGAAAGCAGUCAUCUUUUCAAUCACUGCAUCACACAAGCUUGGAUACUCGGGGUCCAAUGCUUUUCUAAUAGUCUUUGAUAUAGGGUCAUUAGACACAAUGGAUAAAAAAGUAUAGCAGGAUGGAGACAAGCCGUGGUAACUCAAAAAAUUCUAAGUAGCAUUUAUAAUCUCAUGUGUUAAGUCUAGAAUUAUAAUUUAUGGGUUAAAACUUAAAAAUUGCCAAAGGCUUAUUCUAAGUUAUUUUCAAUUCCAUGGAAUUGGGUUGGAAUUACAUUUCAAAUUUCAUUACAUGCACCAAACAUCAUACUUGGAAUUGGGCAGCCCAAUUUCAAGUCCAGUUCUAAUCCUAUAAACUAAACACUACUUUAUAUAUUUUGAAUUUGGAUAAAAAGAAAAGAAAGAGAAUUAACCAUGGAUUGAUAUUGGGACUAAAAUUUUGGGUUUAUGGUCAUUACCCUUUAUUUUAACAUAGGGUUCUUUUUUGUAUCCAAAUUGGAAUUAGUAGCCCAAUUCCAAUUCUGUAGUGCGCCAAAUGCUACCUCAUAUAUUUUGAAUUUUUGGUAAAAAGAAAAGGAAAAGAAUUAACUGUAAUUGAUAUUGGGACCAAAAUAUGGGCCUUUUGGGUUAUAGGUGAGAUGUUUUCUAUGACCAAUGCAACCUGCAUUAUUUAAGUGUUUCUUGCACAUAAAAUGUUAAUCAUUUUUGUGUUUUUGGAUAACUUGUGUUUUCUUGUCUAUUUUUAUUAGAUGAUAAUGAAAAGGUUAACUUACUAUCAUGGACUAAUGCAGUGACGGCCGCAUUAGCAGUUAUGGUCACAAGUAAUGGGAAUAAUUCUAUAACAGCAGUAAUAUAAUGGUAAUGGCUUGUUGCUAUGCAAUUUUGUUUUCGAAAAAUUUGCAAAGUUCAUGAAACACAUACAUAUUCAUAGAUAUAAUUCAAACUAAGAUAGACAACUACGUAAUAAGCAUAAAUAUAUCAAAUA
This 1004-nucleotide unclassified non-coding RNA is filed under the name Hevea brasiliensis (rubber tree). The record is from RNAcentral. Lineage: Eukaryota; Viridiplantae; Streptophyta; Magnoliopsida; Malpighiales; Euphorbiaceae.